GGGGCCCGGCACAAGCGGUGGAGUAUGUGGUUUAAUUUCGAUGCAACGCGAGAACCUUACCUGGUCUUGACAUCCCGGAGACCCUUGGAAACUAGGGGUGCUUCCAUCUGGAAGAAUCUGGAGCAAAGGUGCUGCAUGGCUGUCGUCAGCUCGUGUCGUGAGAUGUUGGGUUAAGUCCCGCAACGAGCGCAACCCUUGCCUUUAGUUGCCAGCAGUUCGGCUGGGCACUCUAAAGGGACUGCCGGUGUUAAACCGGAGGAAGGUGGGGAUGACGUCAAGUCCUCAUGGCCUUUAUGACCAGGGCUACACACGUACUACAAUGGCCGAUACAAAGGGCAGCGACACUGCGAGGUGAAGCCAAUCCCGUAAAAUCGGUCUCAGUCCGGAUUGGAGUCUGCAACUCGACUCCAUGAAGUUGGAAUCGCUAGUAAUCGUGGAUCAGCAUGCCACGGUGAAUACGUUCCCGGGCCUU
This 472-nucleotide ribosomal RNA is filed under the name uncultured Desulfobulbus sp. Its description in RNAcentral is "bacterial SSU rRNA". It matches the Rfam family "Bacterial small subunit ribosomal RNA", at positions 916 to 1382 of the family's 1533-position model. The record is from RNAcentral. Lineage: Bacteria; Pseudomonadati; Thermodesulfobacteriota; Desulfobulbia; Desulfobulbales; Desulfobulbaceae.